Molecule: ribosomal RNA, 387 nt
Filed under: uncultured bacterium
Lineage: Bacteria
Description: bacterial SSU rRNA
Rfam family: Bacterial small subunit ribosomal RNA
Source: RNAcentral
AUUGAACGCUGGCGGCAUGCCUUACACAUGCAAGUCGAACGGCAGCACGGGGGCAACCCUGGUGGCGAGUGGCGAACGGGUGAGUAAUACAUCGGAACGUGCCCAGUAGUGGGGGAUAGCCCGGCGAAAGCCGGAUUAAUACCGCAUACGACCUACGGGUGAAAGCGGGGGAUCGCAAGACCUCGCGCUAUCGGAGCGGCCGAUGUCAGAUUAGGUUGUUGGUGGGGUAAAAGCCCACCAAGCCGACGAUCUGUAGCUGGUCUGAGAGGACGACCAGCCACACUGGGACUGAGACACGGCCCAGACUCCUACGGGAGGCAGCAGUGGGGAAUUUUGGACAAUGGGCGCAAGCCUGAUCCAGCCAUGCCGCGUGCGGGAAGAAGGCCU